Molecule: ribosomal RNA, 433 nt
Filed under: uncultured bacterium
Lineage: Bacteria
Description: partial 16S ribosomal RNA
Rfam family: Bacterial small subunit ribosomal RNA
Source: RNAcentral
AACGAACGCUGGCGGCAUGCCUAACACAUGCAAGUCGAACGAGACCUUCGGGUCUAGUGGCGCACGGGUGCGUAACGCGUGGGACCCUGCACUUAGGUUCGGAAUACCUCCCCGAAAGGGGUGCUAAUACCGGAUAAUGUCUUCGGACACAAGAUUUAUCGCCUUUGGAUGGGCCCGCGUUGGUUUAGCUGGUUGGUAGGGUAAAAGCCUACCACGGCGACGCUACAUAGCUGGGCUGAGAGGAUGAUCAGCCACACUGGGAAUGAGACGCGGCCCAGACUCCUACGGGAGGCAGCAGUGGGGGAUAUUGCACAACGGGCGAAAUCAUGAUCCAGCAAUGCCGCUUGAGUGAUGAAGGCCGUAGGGUUGUAAAGCUCGUUUACCCGGGAUGAUAAUGACAGUACCGGGAGAAUAAGCACCGGCUAACUCCGUG